RNAcentral lists this long non-coding RNA (323 nucleotides) under Ananas comosus (pineapple). Its description in RNAcentral is "long non-coding RNA (ACOM_LNC011704)". The record is from RNAcentral. Lineage: Eukaryota; Viridiplantae; Streptophyta; Magnoliopsida; Poales; Bromeliaceae.
AAAAAAAAAAAAUAUAUAUAUAUAUAUAUAUAUAUAUAUAUAUAUAUAUAUAUAUAUAUAUAUAUAUAGAACUAGGCUGGAAUACUAUCAAUAAAAUCAACUUAUUAGUGCUAUUAGUUUUUUAACCUUUGAAUUGAAAAAUAUACGGUUAGAAUGAUGUGGGCUCCCUAAGGUUGAGUAGGUGGUUGGUUGAAUAGUAUAAUCUAACGGGUAAAAAUAAUCAAAAGGGUUUAAUCUAACGGCAGAAAACUUGAUAGCACAAAGUGCUUGGUGCUAUUGAUAGUAUAGUAGUCGGACUAUAUAUAUAUAUAUAUAUAUAUAUA